Myodes glareolus (Bank vole) is the source of this 7051-nucleotide non-coding RNA. The record is from RefSeq and is a predicted model, not a curated record. Lineage: Eukaryota; Metazoa; Chordata; Mammalia; Rodentia; Cricetidae.
CUCCCUUCUCCCAUUAUCCUAAAAGCACCGAGAGCCCAGAAGAGCACCUGGCACGUGGGAGAGCUGCCUCACGGUCAAGCUGACGUGUAGACUACGAGCCUCACGUCUGUCCUCUCCCACCCGUAAGCAUGCACACAAAGUCACGUGUUCAACAGAAACUGGGAGGAGCAAAGCAGGCAAUGUUUGUUCGUUGCAUCUUUUUACUUCAGUCCUAAACCAAUGCAGGUAGAAAAAUAUCAUGUGACUUACUUAAGAGGCCCUUGGAGAGAGUGUCUAACAAAACUGUUGGUGGCUUCUACGUGUUUGAUUACCCUAACAGAGUUGGUUCUCUCGUCUCUGCGACUGGUCUAACGCGAUGCCACGGGCACCCUGUUUUCUAGGCUCCACGCUCCACCAUCAGAGCUGUCUUGAUGCUGUUCUCUUGUCUUCUUCAUGUUCCUUCUGUGGGGGCCCAGAGCUGCUUCUGGCGGUUUGUGGUUUAACCUGGCCUGAUGCUGUACUUGUCGCUUUUCCUGUCCCCAUUCCACAGUCACGGUGACUUGAGUGCGAGAGGAAACUGACGCCUAGAGAGGCUGGUUCAAGGUCAAAACCGUGGCUCGUUCAAGGUCAAAAUCGGGACGCAGUCUGGUUUCGUGACUCGCUAGCAAGUUUAGCUGCUUUCCCAUUCUGGUGCUCACCUCUCUGAACCCCCAGCUGAAAACCCUGGGGUCUCCCAGUCGAGCAUGCAGUUGGCGCUUUCUCCUAAUUCACUGUGUGUAUGUCAUGGCCAGUCUGCCGGGCCUGUCCAUCCAGGCUUCUGUGCCAGCCAGUCACGUCGCCUCAGAUGGGCAGCACCUUCCAGGACUUCAACCCUCAAAGCUGUGCCAAGAGUUCUCUGCCUCAGCGAGAUGCCUGCAGCCAUCCCUGGCUCAUACUGCGUGCGUGCUGCACUUCUGCCUCUGGGUGGCAGAUUUGUCCUACCGUCUUUAUACCCCGAGGCCCAGCCCCAGGGAAGAAAUCACUCUGGGCUGUCAGCAGGUAACUCAGAGGCUGAACAGGCCCACGCCUUGCUGUCUUGUUUUGUGAGUUCGUUUUCUGCACGAAUAACCUUGUCCACACUGCCUAAUCUCCCAAAUCUUAAUUUCCUCUUUGGUGAAGGAGGGGAAGAUUAUUCUCUGGAGACUGAAGUAAAAGGGGCCAAACAGCUACAACAGGGGCCUGACCACUUGGGUGGUUACCAGAAUCCUGCCUCCAUGUCUUCCGUGUGGGCCUCACUGGCACCCAGCCAGUAACUCUUCAUGAGGUGCUUGGUAAAAGUGGAACCAACAGAAACUCUCUACAAGCUGCCUGCCUCUCUGUGUGCUGUAGGCUUUCUGGGCACCUAGAGUCACCCUGUCUACAUUUGACUUUCCUUAGCCCCCAUCUCUUGGCUUUUGCGGGAGAAGCUCUUUGCUCCAAAUCCUCCGUUGCUUCUCCUGGUUUCAGAAACUGGACUCACCCAAAGGCGAUGACAGGAAGGCAGUGACGUCUUCUCCUAUCUUUUCCACUUGCCAGGAAGUGAGUAGCUUGUCAGCAUGAAGAAGCUUACUCCAGAGUUCAACCAUAGCCCCACCCUCCUUUGUGAGCCUAGGAGGACAGCCUUGGGGUCUGGCUGCCGGCAAUUUCGAGACAGGCAGGAUGAAGCUCCUUGCAGCUGCAGGGGCCCCUCAGUUGCUGCAGGUGAAGCCUUCCCAGGGCUAUCUCAAGAGCCAGCCCUAUUCAGAACCAUAAUCACAGUCUCUGUGUCUCACUCGUCACUCAUUCUGGAGGGCCUGGCAGAGUGCUUGGCGCUCUUCGCCGCUAUAAAAAGGCCACCUCCAGGGUAGGGUGUGAAGGUUGCCGAAUAUUAUGGUCACCUCCUGCCAAAAUAGCCACUUGACAAACACGAAGCACCCGCAGCUCAUGAUUUGGUGUGCAGUACAUUUGUUUGUGUUUACACUUGAUCCUGAAUACCAAACACCCUCUAAUCUUCCAUUAACCCUGGGAUAGUUCCUGGUUGUUCAGGGGAAAGGAAACAGAAUGCUUUCUCUUCAGAGCCAGACUCUCCAGUCACUCCCAGGCCUCCAGGAGAAUGACUCCUUCUGACCUGGUCCCUCCAAGAUUGACUCAACCCACCCACCCGGGCCCUCCCAGAUGGAAGCUGGAUAGAUGCUGUUUCAGUGGCCCUGACUUCCCCCAGGGGCAGUAGAAGUCUAGGUCACUGCAGAUGGUCCAGUCUCUGGUCUUUGCCAACCCUCCCCCCCUACCCCUAUCUAGUGCCCAUGACUGGGGCUUUUUGUGUCAUCCUGAAGUUGGCACUCUCUCAUUUCCUGACAAUAAUGCUGGCUGUUGUUUCUGGGCAAAUGGAACAAAUGACCGAUGUGAACCUAAUGCAAUCUGCAAACUGGAAACAUCUGCAGCCAGGCAGGGAGCCCUGCAGGGAGGCAAGCAGAGGACCUCCUUGCCGUGUCCUGACCAGAUCAAGGGAGCUGUGCAGCCCCUCUCCUAAGUGCCAUUUCGGUGUGAGAGGCAGCAAACCUGAAACAGCUCUCAUUUUACAGAGGAGCCAGAGGGCGCAGGUGCAAGGAGAGACAAGCAGUCUGCACUGUGCGAGUCUGCGAGGGCACAGCUUUUUCCUGAUGCUGGGUCCACGGAGCCUAUCGUUCCCUUCAUGACAUCGGUUUUCACAGUUGAGCAAACUGACAUCGCACCAAGUUAAGGAGCUUGCCCAUGGUGGCUUGGCUAGCAGCUGCUAGAGGCAGCGAAGCUGAGGCUCUCACAUCUCUGACCACUGGGCCUGUCUACCCACAGCAGAUCGUUUGCUCCAACAACAGCUUUGAGAGCUGGAGUUUCUUCAGUUCUACAGUACCUGAGGUUGAGCGUCAGAAGCCUGGACUCAACAGAAAGACAACACAGAGCCAGUUCUGCGGCUACAGGGGGCAAACUAUUUCUCAAUACAGACUCUCUCCUGGAAGGAGUUUUCCAAGUAUCACCCAGAGGGUUGCUCUGGAGGGACACAGAUCAUCUUGCUCUGCCUUAGUUCACAGGGGCUACUCAAACCGGGACUGCCACCUGCUGGAACUGAGCUGCGUUCCCUUGGGCCUUGGCAAGAAAGUACUAAUUUCUAAACUAUUCCCUGCCAGGUCACAGCUUGCAUGUAUAAUGAGCCAGAGAGAGAUCUUUGAAAUCAGAAGAGGGCGGGGCUCCAUGAUCUCUAGUAGGAGCUGGGGACCAUAUUGGUCCCAAGAGAACGCUAAGGAGAAGGGCCCUGCCGGGAGGUAGCCAUUCCUUGUACCAGAGGCCACGGAGAGGCAGAAUUGCUGGCAGCCGUUGGGUGCCUACCACACUUCAGGGUCUCCACUAUGCCCUGAGGACUUGAGCAAGCUGUCAACAACUCUGAGGUCUCCUGGGUAGUGGUUGACCCUGGGGCAGCCCCGCAGGAGCCAAGGUGAUCUCAGCUCCUCGCCUUUGCGCUUCGUGAAUGGCGGUGGGAGUCACGGGACCAUUGCUCUGAUUCAACCACACAGUUUGAGGGUGCUGGUGGUGCACCUGACCAGACACACUCCCCUGGAACUCAGUGGCACUAGAGGGACAGGUGCCCUCACAGCCCACAGAGGGUAGCCCAGCCUGGCCCCAGAAAGGAGAGCUCAGUUAAUACUGAGGCGUUCUUCUAUUUAUCUGGGCACUGCAAACUGUGUCUCAGGAUUCCUCAGUGAGUGCUCUGACUACCUCUCCACUCUGGGACUAAAGAUCUAGGCCUGAAAAGCUGGGACUCUUCCACACUGGCCUGUCGCGAGCCCAGUGGAUUUGUAUUCAGCCUGCCAGGGUCGGCACCCUCCUCAGCCUUUGCCGUUGCCCAUACAGAGACAGUCCUCACCUCCUACAGACUGGCAGGCUGGGCCAGAAUUGGUCGACCAAGGAAGCAGAGGACACACGCCAAAAGGAAGUCACAAAGAUCAGUUUAAAAAUAACCCUCUCGUGUCGAUCAUAAGGAGGAGUUUGCAGAGAAGCCAAGUUCUGAGGGCGAUAUGGCCCACGGUAAUGUCGGAAAGGCUCCCACAGCCAAUCAGAAGGGUUGGACUUCCAGCCCCCACCUCCUUAUCAGCCUGGGCAAGCCACUGCCUGAGCCUCUGCUCUCCUCAGAUACUUCCGCCCGGCCAGCAUCUGUUUCCUCUCCUAUAUUUAACACCAGGUUAGUGAACUUUCAAUGCAUUUUUUUCCACCAGGGUAGAGCAGAGCCUUUCAGAGAGCGUAUGGGUCACAUUGACACAGAGGCCCCGUAGCCCGUUCUGCUGCUCCCCGGCUUCUCUGCUGGAUGUGUGGGGCCCAUGCAUCCAGAGACGAUUGGUUUCCAGCUCUGUUACUUUGUGACCCAUCCGGUGGGAGGAUGAGCAAGCAGCUGGGAGAUGGACCCAGACGCUGUCCUAAUGUGGACAGUGUGUGACUCCUCCGGCUAUGGUUUGAAUGUGAACUACCCACCACGAGCUCACAUUUUAAUCUCCGUUUUCCCAGCUAUGUUCAUUUCAAGGCUUGGGGAACGGGGGAAGACUGUUCAACUUCAGUAGAUGUAUCAGUGUGUCUGGACUUUUGAAGGUCAUACCUGUCCCAGGUUCUACACCGCCUCUGCGUCUGGAGAAAGAGCAUCACUGCUGCCUCAGCCUCCCUGCCACAGUGGCCCGAAACCCUUCUGAGGCCACGAGCCAGAACUGUUAUUUCCUCUAAGUUCUUCUGUCUGGGAUCUCAUUGAAACAGGGAAAAAGGUAACUCAAGCAUUUGUCCGACACCAGGAGAGGCAAAGGGGGCCUGCAGUACACCAGAGACGCAGAUAUCAUCACCUACUGCACAAUUCCAAGGGCUCCCAGCGCAGCCUCUUCACGGCUGGACCCUCGGGACUCCAGGCUAUUCCUGGCUCCAUUUCCCACUCCACUAAAGAGAGCUGUUUGGAGGAAGGCCACCGUAGCUCUCUAGUUCUCCAGUCUAGGUCAUCCAGGUGUUUGUGGCCCUGUCUCAGCACACAAAACACUCGCUAGGAAGUGUCACCAGAACCUUCGAGAAGAUCUUUCCUUGAGGUUGGAAAUAACCCCGAGAAACUUAGGAACCAAUAUUCUUGUCUCCAGCCAGCAGGCCUGCCACCACUAAGACCGUGCUCCAUGUGUGCUGCCUGGCACUGCAGGGUGGUUUGCCCUGAACCAGCAGCUGCCACUGGAGUAAAGCAGAGAGGACUCCUGCCAGCAGCCUCCUGCUCUCAGCACCGCAUACCCAGGCUGCCUGCCCCAGCAAAGACGCAGACGCUGGACUUUUCACAGUCUUCUUUUCCCUCAACGUAGACACCUCCUAACUUGUUCAUGUUUUAUGUUCUGGGAAUUUGCCCUGCAUUGAGCACUGCUGCCCGUCAGCCCACGACAACCUGGAGUCACACUGGGGAUCCAGAAGCCCAGCUCUGCCCUGCUGCAGCUGUGUGAUCUUAAGGGAGUGACUGACUGUUGUGAGCCCAUUUCCAUAACUGCCAAACGAGACCCAAAAAGUGGCUCAUAAAGAGCCACUUUCAAAGAGGUGUGAGGAAAGUCAUGGAGGUGACGUUUAUGAUCCCCCAGCUCCUGGCCACCAGGUCCUCUGAUGCUUUCUACGGCUCUGUGGGUUCCCUGUUUGCUUGGAUUGUGUACCCUUCAUACGCGGCAUUAAAUACAAACGAGUUCCUUAUUAAAAUAACUGCUCUUCUGUGCUGACAAGUGGGCUCAGCAGGCAACUGCACUCAUAGUUAAACCUGACAACUGGAGUUUUGUCCCCAGAAUCCACAUGGUGGAAGGAGAGAACGGACUCCUGACUCCUGCAGACUGACCUCUGACCUCCACACAGGUGUGCUGCACACGCAGGCCCACACACGCUCCACUGCAAAUAAAGGUUAAAGAAAAUCCCUCAGAACAUUCUCCCUAACAACUUCCCUGCAAGAAGAGCAAGCAUCAGUUGAACGCUUGCGAUGCUGUGAAGACUGGUCCUGUGCAAGCCUUAAUGUACGCCCGAUGUGGUGGGUUAUCAUGAUUGCUAUUUUAUAGACAAGUGGGCUGAGCCGAAUGGUUUUCCCACGACAUGUGUACUCAACGGUAGAGUCAGGCCUCAGAGCCCCCACUUUAAACCUCUUGGCUGGGACUGUGCUAUAGUGGAAUGAAAUGGGCUGGGUACCCCCGAGAAGAGAAUUUUUUGAACGCUAUCCAGAAGUGGAGGCAGCCCUGACUUUUUCAGAAGUUGUUUGUUUCAUCAAACCGCACUAAACUGAUCAUUUGCUGCUGACAGUUACAGUUGGUUUGGCACCAACCCAUCUUGUGUCAGACUCUUAAAGCACCUAAGUCUUUUAAGAUUAUUUGGUUUCCACUCCACUGCCAGUUUGGACUAAGUAAUUCUUGUUUUGUGAGGGUAAGAUGUCUACGGUGCAUUACUGGGUUGCUGGAUGUUACCAUGGCCUGUGGCUUCUACCCAAAAAUACCAACAGCAGUCCCUGUUCCCCAUCAGAAUGUCCUCAGAUAUUGCCAAAUGUUUCAGGGUGGGGUGCAGAAUCACUACUGUUUGGGAAGUGCUGUUCUGAACACAAAGUCUGAACUUUACAGAGGUUAGACUGCUUCCCAAGAUCACAAAGGCUGCCCUAAGCUGAGUCUGAGCCAAGGUCUAAAUGUUUACUCUGGAACCACCCUUUCGGUUCCUAAAUAAAGAAAACUCAAACAUGGUACUGUGAUGUGUUUCCCCAAACCCAGUGGUAUCAAUACACCAUGAUCUCCCUCCCCCAGCACGGUCCAAAUUCACAAGCUCUGGCGACUACUCACCAGAGCAUGAUCUAAGUAUAAGCUAUUGAGAGGGAAAUCAGCUUUGAACUGUGAGUGAGGCCGUCCUGCCAAGCCUCGGAGUUUCAGCUGUCAUUUUCAAUCUUGUGUCCUUUGGGUGUGCCACAAAAAUCUGGCCUGAGCUUCCAUCUAUCCUGCUGGUGUUUUCUAGGAUUUCUAUAAAGGUUUUGGGAAACAAUGACCAUUCUUAACUUUGACAUCUUCAGGCGCUGUUUAGAAUU